Molecule: ribosomal RNA, 439 nt
Filed under: uncultured bacterium
Lineage: Bacteria
Description: partial 16S ribosomal RNA
Rfam family: Bacterial small subunit ribosomal RNA
Source: RNAcentral
CCUACGGGAGGCAGCAGUGGGGGAUAUUGCACAAUGGAGGAAACUCUGAUGCAGCGACGCCGCGUGAGGGAAGACGGUCUUCGGAUUGUAAACCUCUGUCUUUGGGGAAGAAACUGACGGUACCCAAAGCGGAAGCUCCGGCAAACUACGUGACAGCAGCCGCGGUAAUACGUAGGGAGCGAGCGUUGUCCGGAAUUACCGGGUGUAAGGGGAGCGUAGGCGGGCGAGAAAGUUGAAUGUUAAAUCUACCGGCUAAACUGGGAGCUGCGGUUAAAAAGGCUUGUCUGGAGUGAAGUAGAGGCAGGCGGAAUUCCUAGUGUAGCGGUGAAAUGCGUAGAUAUUAGGAGGAACACCAGUGGCGAAGGCGGCCUGCUGGGCUUUAACUGACGCUGAGGCUCGAAAGCGUGGGGAGCAAACAGGAUUAGAUACCCCGGUAGUC